UGAGAAUUUGAUCCUGGUUCAGGAUUAAUGCUAGCGGCGUGCCUAAGGUAUGCAAGUCGAACGGAUUAUUACACAGUCUAGCUUGCUAGACACCGUAAUAAUUAGUGGCGAACGGCUGAGUAAUACAUAGGAAUCUACCCCUAACUCGGGAAUAACCAAUCGAAAGAUUGGCUAAUACCCGAUGUGGAGGAAACUCCAAAGAUUUAUCGGUUAGGGAAGAGCCUGUGGCCUAUCAGCUAGUUGGUGGGGUAAUUGCCCACCAAGGCUAUGACGGGUACCGGGCCUGAGAGGGCGUACCGGCAGAGGGGCACUGAGACACGGGCCUCACUCCUACGGGAGGCAGCAAUCGGGAAUCUUGCGCAAUGGACGAAAGUCUGACGCAGCGACGCCGCGUGGAGGAUGAAUGCCUUCGGGUUGUAAACUCACGUCAAAAAGCACCGGCUAACUACGUGCCAGCAGCAGCGGUCAAACGUAGGGUGCAAGCAUUAUCCGGAUUUACUGGGCGUAAAGAGUUCUGUAGGCGGCAGUAUAAGUUGGAGGUUAAAUCUUUCGGCCCAACCGAAAGGCUGCUUUCAAUACUGUAUUGCUAGAGUCAGCUAGGGGACAGUGGAAUUCGUGGUGGAGCGGUGAAAUGCGUUGAUAUCACGAGGAACACCAAGGGGGAAGCCAACUGUCUGGGGCUGUACUGACGCUGAGAGACGAAAGCUAGGGGAGAGAAAAGGAUUAGAUACCCUUGUAUUCCUAGCUGUAAACUAUGCCUGCUAGAUACUUGGUUUUUAAACUGAGCGUCGAAGCUAACGCGUUAAGCAGGCCGCCUGGGGAGUACUACCGCAAGGUUGAAACUCAAAGGAAUUGGCGGGGACCCGCACAAGCGGUGGAGCAUGCUCUUUAAUUGGUUGCUAACCCAAGAACCUUACCCAGACUUGACAUGUUUGUAGUAGUGAACCGAAAGGGGAACGAUCCUAAUUUAUUAGGAAGCAUACACAGGUGUUGCAUGGCUGUCGUCAGCUCGUACCGUGAGGCGUACCCUUAAGUGGGUUAACGAGCGCAACCCCUACUGCUAGUUGUAUCACUUUAGCGGAACUGCCAUCGUAAGAUGGAGGAAGGUGGGGACGACGUCAAGUCGGUAUUGCCCUUAUGUCUGGGGCCAGAAGCAUGCUACAAUGGCGCGUACAAUGAGUUGCUUUGCUGCGAAGCACGGCUAAUCUUUUAAAACGCGUCUCAGUUCGGAUUGAAGUCUGCAAUUCGACUUCAUGAAGUUGGAAUCGCUAGUAAUCGUCGGUCAGCUAUACGACGGUGAAUACGUUCUCGGGUCUUGCACACACUGCCCGUCACAUCAGCAAAGCUGAGGUCGCCUGAAGUACCUCUUUAGAGGUCCCAUGGUGAAAUCAGUGAUGAGGGUGAAGUCGUAACAAGGUAGCCGUAGGGGAAUCUGCGGCUG
RNAcentral lists this ribosomal RNA (1441 nucleotides) under candidate division WWE3 bacterium. RNAcentral describes it as "bacterial SSU rRNA". It matches the Rfam family "Bacterial small subunit ribosomal RNA". The record is from RNAcentral. Lineage: Bacteria; candidate division WWE3.